CCUGUGAGGGUUGCUGGAGGUAUCAGAAGUGCGAAUGCUGACAUAAGUAACGAUAAAGCGGGUGAAAAACCCGCUCGCCGGAAGACCAAGGGUUCCUGUCCAACGUUAAUCGGGGCAGGGUGAGUCGACCCCUAAGGCGAGGCCGAAAGGCGUAGUCGAUGGGAAACAGGUUAAUAUUCCUGUACUCGGUGUUACUGCGAAGGGGGGACGGAGAAGGCUAGGCUAUCCGGGCGACGGUUGUCCCGGUUUAAGCGUGUAGGGGGUGUGACUUGGUAAAUCCGGUCGCAUAUCAACCCUGAGGCGUGAUGACGAGUCACUACGGUGAUGAAGUAGUUGAUGCCAAGCUUCCAGGAAAAGCCUCUAAGCUCUAGGUAACAUUGAAUCGUACCCCAAACCGACACAGGUGGUCAGGUAGAGAAUACCAAGGCGCUUGAGAGAACUCGGGUGAAGGAACUAGGCAAAAUGGUGCCGUAACUUCGGGAGAAGGCACGCUGGCGCGUAGGUGAAGUCCCUUGCGGAUGGAGCUGAAGCCAGUCGAAGAUACCAGCUGGCUGCAACUGUUUAAUAAAAACACAGCACUGUGCAAACACGAAAGUGGACGUAUACGGUGUGACGCCUGCCCGGUGCUGGAAGGUUAAUUGAUGGGGUCAGCCGCAAGGCGAAGCUCUUGAUCGAAGCCCCAGUAAACGGCGGCCGUAACUAUAACGGUCCUAAGGUAGCGAAAUUCCUUGUCGGGUAAGUUCCGACCUGCACGAAUGGCGUAAUGAUGGCCAGGCUGUCUCCACCCGAGACUCAGUGAAAUUGAACUCGCUGUGAAGAUGCAGUGUACCCGCGGCAAGACGGAAAGACCCCGUGAACCUUUACUAUAGCUUGACACUGAACAUUGAGCCUUGAUGUGUAGGAUAGGUGGGAGGCUUUGAAGUGUGGACGCCAGUCUGCAUGGAGCCAACCUUGAAAUACCACCCUUUAAUGUUUGAUGUUCUAACUCCGGUCCCUAAUCGGGAUUGAGGACAGUGUCUGGUGGGUAGUUUGACUGGGGCGGUCUCCUCCUAAAGAGUAACGGAGGAGCACGAAGGUUAGCUAAUCACGGUCGGACAUCGUGAGGUUAGUGCAAUGGCAUAAGCUAGCUUGACUGCGAGAGUGACGGCUCGAGCAGGUACGAAAGUAGGUCAUAGUGAUCCGGUGGUUCUGAAUGGAAGGGCCAUCGCUCAACGGAUAAAAGGUACUCCGGGGAUAACAGGCUGAUACCGCCCAAGAGUUCAUAUCGACGGCGGUGUUUGGCACCUCGAUGUCGGCUCAUCACAUCCUGGGGCUGAAGUAGGUCCCAAGGGUAUGGCUGUUCGCCAUUUAAAGUGGUACGCGAGCUGGGUUUAGAACGUCGUGAGACAGUUCGGUCCCUAUCUGCCGUGGGCGUUGGAAGAUUGAGAGGGGCUGCUCCUAGUACGAGAGGACCGGAGUGGACGCAUCACUGGUGUUCGGGUUGUCAUGCCAAUGGCAUUGCCCGGUAGCUAAAUGCGGAAAAGAUAAGCGCUGAAAGCAUCUAAGCGCGAAACUUGCCUCGAGAUGAGUCUUCCCUGAGACCUUGAGUCUCCUAAAGGAACGUUUAAGACUAAGACGUUGAUAGGCUGGGUGUGUAAGCGUAGCGAUACGUUGAGCUAACCAGUACUAAUGAUCCGUGAGGCUUAACCUUACAACACCGAAGGUGUUU
RNAcentral lists this ribosomal RNA (1708 nucleotides) under Hafnia paralvei. RNAcentral's name for it is "partial 23S ribosomal RNA". It matches the Rfam family "Bacterial large subunit ribosomal RNA", at positions 1260 to 2925 of the family's 2925-position model. The record is from RNAcentral. Lineage: Bacteria; Pseudomonadati; Pseudomonadota; Gammaproteobacteria; Enterobacterales; Hafniaceae.